RNAcentral lists this microRNA (21 nucleotides) under Zea mays. Its description in RNAcentral is "microRNA miR-3227". Lineage: Eukaryota; Viridiplantae; Streptophyta; Magnoliopsida; Poales; Poaceae. The record is from RNAcentral.
UUCUUAGGAAAAGAGGUCGGC